GGGGGGUGACUGACGGCGAGUCCCAUCAGCGCGCUGAGCUGCAGAUACUGCGGAAAGAACACGUGAGAGGAGUGCGUCGGAGCGAUCUUGAAAAUCGCUGAGAAUUCACAGCUCUUCGUGGGUUCGAAUCCCACGCCCUCCG
RNAcentral lists this transfer RNA (142 nucleotides) under Modestobacter sp. VKM Ac-2979. RNAcentral's name for it is "tRNA-Ser". The record is from RNAcentral. RNAcentral also lists the same sequence under 1 other name. Lineage: Bacteria; Bacillati; Actinomycetota; Actinomycetes; Geodermatophilales; Geodermatophilaceae.